CACGUAGGGUGCAAGCGUUAUCCGGAAUUAUUGGGCGUAAAGAGCUCGUAGGCGGUUUGUCGCGUCUGCCGUGAAAGUCCGGGGCUCAACUCCGGAUCUGCGGUGGGUACGGGCAGACUAGAGUGAUGUAGGGGAGACUGGAAUUCCUGGUGUAGCGGUGAAAUGCGCAGAUAUCAGGAGGAACACCGAUGGCGAAGGCAGGUCUCUGGGCUGUAACUGACGCUGAGGAGCGAAAGCAUGGGGAGCGAACAGG
This 253-nucleotide ribosomal RNA is filed under the name uncultured bacterium. Its description in RNAcentral is "partial 16S ribosomal RNA". It matches the Rfam family "Bacterial small subunit ribosomal RNA", at positions 524 to 776 of the family's 1533-position model. The record is from RNAcentral.